This 833-nucleotide ribosomal RNA is filed under the name uncultured Sediminicola sp. Its description in RNAcentral is "bacterial SSU rRNA". It matches the Rfam family "Bacterial small subunit ribosomal RNA", at positions 27 to 862 of the family's 1533-position model. The record is from RNAcentral. Lineage: Bacteria; Pseudomonadati; Bacteroidota; Flavobacteriia; Flavobacteriales; Flavobacteriaceae.
GGAUGAACGCUAGCGGCAGGCCUAACACAUGCAAGUCGAGGGGUAACAGGGAGCUUGCUCCGCUGACGACCGGCGCACGGGUGCGCAACGCGUAUACAAUCUGCCUUAUGCUGAGGGAUAGCCCAGAGAAAUUUGGAUUAAUACCUCAUGGUAUCGAGAGACGGCAUCGUUUUUUGAUUAAAGGUCACGGCAUAAGAUGAGUAUGCGUCCCAUUAGCUAGUUGGUGUGGUAACGGCACACCAAGGCAACGAUGGGUAGGGGUCCUGAGAGGGAGAUCCCCCACACUGGUACUGAGACACGGACCAGACUCCUACGGGAGGCAGCAGUGAGGAAUAUUGGACAAUGGGCGGAAGCCUGAUCCAGCCAUGCCGCGUGCAGGAAGACGGUCCUAUGGAUUGUAAACUGCUUUUAUACGGGAAGAAUAAGGGCUACGUGUAGCCUGGUGACGGUACCGUAAGAAUAAGGAUCGGCUAACUCCGUGCCAGCAGCCGCGGUAAUACGGAGGAUCCAAGCGUUAUCCGGAAUCAUUGGGUUUAAAGGGUCCGUAGGCGGACUAUUAAGUCAGGGGUGAAAGUCUGCAGCUCAACUGUAGAAUUGCCCUUGAUACUGGUAGUCUUGAGUUAUGGUGAAGUGGCUAGAAUAUGUAGUGUAGCGGUGAAAUGCAUAGAUAUUACAUAGAAUACCGAUUGCGAAGGCAGGUCACUAACCAUAUACUGACGCUGAUGGACGAAAGCGUGGGGAGCGAACAGGAUUAGAUACCCUGGUAGUCCACGCCGUAAACGAUGGAUACUAGCUGUUCGGACUUCGGUCUGAGCGGCCAAGCGAAAGUGAUA